AGAUUAGAGUUUGAUCAUGGCUCAGAAUGAACGCUGGCGGCGUGCCUAACACAUGCAAGUCGCACGAGAAAGUCUGCUUUCGGGCGGGCGAGUAAAGUGGCGCACGGGUGAGUAACGCGUAGGUAAUCUACCCCUGGAUUUGGGAUAACAGUGCGAAAGCGCUGCUAAUACCGGAUACGACCUUUUCGCGGGAGCGGGAAGGUGAAAGUCGGCCUCUCGAAGAAGCUGAUGUUCGGGGAUGAGCCUGCGUCCUAUCAGCUAGUUGGCAGGGUAAAGGCCUACCAAGGCGACGACGGGUAGCUGGUCUGAGAGGAUGAUCAGUCACACUGGCACUGGAACACGGGCCAGACUCCUACGGGAGGCAGCAGUGAGGAAUUUUGCGCAAUGGCCGCAAGGCUGACGCAGCAACGCCGCGUGGGUGAUGAAGGCCUUCGGGUCGUAAAGCCCUGUCAGGUGGGAAGAACGAUUGGGGGUCGAAUAGGCCUUUGAUGUGACGGUACCACCAGAGGAAGCGCCGGCUAACUCCGUGCCAGCAGCCGCGGUAAUACGGAGGGUGCGAGCGUUAUUCGGAAUUACUGGGCGUAAAGCGCGUGUAGGCGGCCUGGCAAGUCUGAUGUGAAAGCCCCGGGCUUAACCUGGGAAGUGCAUUGGAAACUGUCGGGCUUGAGUACUGGAGAGGAUGGGGGAAUUCCCGGUGUAGAGGUGAAAUUCGUAGAGAUCGGGAGGAAUAUCAGUGGCGAAGGCGCCCAUCUGGACGGUAACUGACGCUGAGACGCGAAAGCGUGGGGAGCAAACAGGAUUAGAUACCCUGGUAGUCCACGCUGUAAACGAUGAGCACUGGGUGUAGCGGGUACUCAUUCCUGCUGUGCCGCAGCUAACGCGUUAAGUGCUCCGCCUGGGGAUUACGGUCGCAAGACUAAAACUCUAAGGAAUUGACGGGGGUCCGCACAAGCGGUGGAGUAUGGGGUUUAAUUCGACGCAACGCGAAAAAACUUUACCUUGGCUUGACUUCCCCGGCCCGCUCUGGAAACAGGGAUUUCCCUUUUGGGGGACCGGGAUAUCAGGGCUGCUAGGUCUGUCUUCAGUUCGGGUCUGGGAAUGGUUGGUAUAGUCUCGCGAACAAAGCGCAACCUUUUUCUUAUUGCCUCCACCUUUCUGGGUGGUGGAACUUUUAAGGGUAACCUGCUCAGUGGUACCACAUCUGGGAAGAGAAAAAGGGGCGUGGGGUGCCACUACCACCCCUCCCAAAUGGCCUACUCUCCCCCA
RNAcentral lists this ribosomal RNA (1266 nucleotides) under uncultured bacterium. RNAcentral describes it as "partial 16S ribosomal RNA". It matches the Rfam family "Bacterial small subunit ribosomal RNA", at positions 1 to 1222 of the family's 1533-position model. RNAcentral also lists the same sequence under 1 other name. The record is from RNAcentral.